This is a long non-coding RNA of Piliocolobus tephrosceles (Ugandan red Colobus), 541 nucleotides long. RefSeq lists it as uncharacterized. The record is from RefSeq and is a predicted model, not a curated record. Lineage: Eukaryota; Metazoa; Chordata; Mammalia; Primates; Cercopithecidae. The transcript has 4 exons.
AGGAGCUGUCUUCCUACAAGCUGAGCAGCCCUCUUCUGGACUUGGCCUGAGUUGCAGAGAGUCAGAUGCCAGCGUCUCCAAGAGGAAGAAAGGUCCCCUGGACUUGAUAUGAGAGUAGAAGUCUGCUUGCUGGGCAUCGUUUGAAGACAGAGAGUGAGCUACUUAGGUUGGACCCAUGUGGAUAAGAGAGGAGACAAACACUAUGGGCUAGGCUAGAAGAACAUACACUGAGUCCUUUCCAGGAAUCUGCUAGAGCAAAGUGAGGUGGAAUUGGAAAGGAUUUCAGGGGUUCUUGGAAGCCCAGAAAAAGGAGCUGAACAUGCCUUUGCCAGAAAGCCACAAGCGGGAAACCUCAAAGACUGGAAGAGGACUUGCUAGGUGCCAUACUUUAUGCGCACUAUCUAAUCCCAGCUUUCCUGGCUGGCUCCAUUUGGUUUCCUUUGACCUUGGGGAGACUCUAUUACUUGGGAAUCCUCCAUCAUUGCAGCUUCAGGAUGAGGGACAGAAUGUCAAGUGUGAAGAUGCUGUUCUGCCACUUUCU